GCCGCUACGCCAAGCUCCCUGACAGCUCGGGGAGCCCCACUAACUCAUCUCAGGCCCCCGGAGCGCCAACGCCCCGCUUGUUUUAUUUCCCACUCGCUAAAUUGAGUCGUAAAGACUUAGGAAAAAUAACGACGCGAAGGAAAAAGGGGGCCUCGUUCCCGUUUUUGAGCUCAUCAGUCGCCCCCCUUCCCUUUCCCACGAGUCCCAGGUGGGCCGUUUGUCGACCCAAUUAAAUGCCGUGACAUGUAACCAGAGCGCCAGGAUAUUUACGGAACGCUGACCUCCGGCGCGGCUGAAUCAGGCCGCGUCUGUUAUCACACGGCGGAGACACGAAACACGCAGGCGUUACCUGGAAGAAGAAAACGGAGCGUCAUCCUGAACUCGAGGAACACAGCUCAGCCGGAGGCCGGGGCAGGAGAGAAUAGGCGGGAGGUGUGAUAAGGGAGAAGAGCGUCUUUCAGAGGAGCUGGAGGAAGGGGAUGGCAACGGAGGAAAAAAAAAAAAGAAAGAAAAGGCGUCCGUCCGGUAGCCUUGUCUCUCGCUCCGGUUCACAAACACCGUCCCAUCACCUCCGUGUCCUUGGCAAGCCUCCUCACAAAGGUUAGAGGAAUGGCAGGGAAUUUAGUGGGAGACCCCCGGGGUGGAGACGUCAACUGGGAACAGAGCUCCAGGAGGCCAGACAUUUCUGUGGUGACACACGUUACUAUUCAAGUGGGGUUCCAGAAAGAUCCAGGCGCAAAGCGACACCAGGGGUUAGCAACAGCUAUGAGGUAGGAAUAUUUGCCAAGAAGGUCUCUAGGAGAGAAUUACCACAGCAUUAACAGAGGAUCAUGACACAGACGGGUCGUUUCCGCUGGCUGGCAGGGUUCAGUGGUCUAUUUUAAUCUCCCAGUGCUUUUCCAACUACCGCCAGUUGGAGCAUCACAGGAAAAAUGAGGUUAAACUCAACUACCCGUUGCGUCACACUUGUGAACAAGGAACGUGACGCACAAGUAUGUCUACUGUGAACCGUAUGUUUUAUUUUUUAAGCCCCCCAAUCUCUCUUGCUAUCCUGCUUGCGCCUCCCUCACACAAAA
Long non-coding RNA from Gambusia affinis (western mosquitofish), 1076 nucleotides. RefSeq lists it as uncharacterized. The record is from RefSeq and is a predicted model, not a curated record. The transcript has 5 exons. NCBI's taxonomy places the organism in Eukaryota, Metazoa, Chordata, Actinopteri, Cyprinodontiformes, Poeciliidae.